GACGAACGCUGGCGGCGUGCCUAAUACAUGCAAGUUGAGCGCUGAAGGUUGGUACUUGUACCAACUGGAUGAGCAGCGAACGGGUGAGUAACGCGUGGGGAAUCUGCCUUUGAGCGGGGGACAACAUUUGGAAACGAAUGCUAAUACCGCAUAAAAACUUUAAACACAAGUUUUAAGUUUGAAAGAUGCAAUUGCAUCACUCAAAGAUGAUCCCGCGUUGUAUUAGCUAGUUGGUGAGGUAAAGGCUCACCAAGGCGAUGAUACAUAGCCGACCUGAGAGGGUGAUCGGCCACAUUGGGACUGAGACACGGCCCAAACUCCUACGGGAGGCAGCAGUAGGGAAUCUUCGGCAAUGGACGAAAGGCUGACCGAGCAACGCCGCGUGAGUGAAGAAGGCUUUCGGAUCGUAAAACUCUGUUGGUAGAGAAGAACGUUGGUGAGAGUGGAAAGCUCAUCAAGUGACGGUAACUACCCAGAAAGGGACGGCUAACUACGUG
This 497-nucleotide ribosomal RNA is filed under the name uncultured bacterium. Its description in RNAcentral is "partial 16S ribosomal RNA". It matches the Rfam family "Bacterial small subunit ribosomal RNA", at positions 28 to 507 of the family's 1533-position model. The record is from RNAcentral.